RNAcentral lists this ribosomal RNA (301 nucleotides) under uncultured bacterium. Its description in RNAcentral is "partial 16S ribosomal RNA". It matches the Rfam family "Bacterial small subunit ribosomal RNA", at positions 509 to 807 of the family's 1533-position model. The record is from RNAcentral.
CAGCCGCCACGGUAAUACGUAGGUGGCAAGCGUUGUCCGGAAUUAUUGGGCGUAAAGGGCUCGCAGGCGGUUUCUUAAGUCUGAUGUGAAAGCCCCCGGCUCAACCGGGGAUGGUCAUUGGAAACUGGGAAACUUGAGUGCAGAAGAGGAGAGUGGAAUUCCACGUGUAGCGGUGAAAUGCGUAGAGAUGUGGAGGAACACCAGUGGCGAAGGCGACUCUCUGGUCUGUAACUGACGCUGAGGAGCGAAAGCGUGGGGAGCGAACAGGAUUAGAUACCCCGGUAGUCCCUGUCUCUUAUAC